UUUCCGUAGGUGAACCUGCGGAAGGAUCAUUAUUGUAUAACCGAGGUGCAAGGGCUGUCGCUGACCCGAAAGGUCCUGCACGCCCGAGUGCCCUCACACACAUCCAUCUCACCCCUUUGUGCACCAGCACGUGGGUCCCCCCUUGGCUUGUUCGGAGGGGGGCUUACGUUUUCACACAAACUUUGUAUGCAGUGUAGAAUGUAUUUUUUGUUUUUGCGUUCACGCAAUCAAUACAACUUUCAACAACGGAUCUCUUGGCUCUC
RNAcentral lists this unclassified non-coding RNA (263 nucleotides) under plant metagenome. Its description in RNAcentral is "partial contains small subunit ribosomal RNA, internal transcribed spacer 1, and 5.8S ribosomal RNA". The record is from RNAcentral.